CUCUGAAUGUCAAAGUGAAGAAAUUC
Molecule: non-coding RNA, 26 nt
Filed under: Drosophila melanogaster (fruit fly)
Lineage: Eukaryota; Metazoa; Arthropoda; Insecta; Diptera; Drosophilidae
Also listed under: 6 other names
Source: RNAcentral